CUGAAGGGGGAUGUCGAGGAGUCGAAUGAAGAGGUAACGCUCUGAAAGGCUCCUCUUGCGUCGAGUAGCACACUGAUUGGUAAGAUAUUGCGUGGUAUAAGCUAGGCUAUUAGCGGCGAAAACUGGUGAUAAAUUCAAAGGCUUACCAA
This is a non-coding RNA of Sporosarcina psychrophila, 149 nucleotides long. NCBI's taxonomy places the organism in Bacteria, Bacillati, Bacillota, Bacilli, Caryophanales, Caryophanaceae. The record is from Rfam.